GGAGUUUGGUCCGUGUCUCAGUACCAAUGUGGGGGACCUUCCUCUCAGAACCCCUACUGAUCGAUGGCUCGGUGGGCCGUUACCCCGCCGACUACCUAAUCAGACGUAUCCCCAUCCUAUAGCGCCAAAGCUUUGCUUCUCGUCAGAUGCCAUCAAAGAAGAACAUAGAGCAUUAAUCCGACUUUCGCCGGGCUAUUCUCUACUAUAGGGAAGGUUGGAUAGGCGUUACUCACCCGUGCGCCGGUCGCCAUCAACAAAAGCAAGCUUUCGUUAUGCUGCCCCUCGACUUGCAUGUGUUAAGCCUGUAGCUAGCGUUCAUC
This 320-nucleotide ribosomal RNA is filed under the name uncultured Prevotella sp. RNAcentral's name for it is "partial 16S ribosomal RNA". The record is from RNAcentral. Lineage: Bacteria; Pseudomonadati; Bacteroidota; Bacteroidia; Bacteroidales; Prevotellaceae.